Long non-coding RNA from Carassius carassius (crucian carp), 372 nucleotides. RefSeq lists it as uncharacterized. The record is from RefSeq and is a predicted model, not a curated record. NCBI's taxonomy places the organism in Eukaryota, Metazoa, Chordata, Actinopteri, Cypriniformes, Cyprinidae. The transcript has 3 exons.
AACGUCACUUGUAGGCGGGGAAACAACGCCAUUUCUGCUCGAGACGCAUGAUUUCCAGGUCCUGUUAGGUAAAGACCCAGUAUUGAGUAACAGAGAUGGCAGCACAUCUGGAAUCAAUACAGCCGAACUGGAUUCUGCUCUAGCUCUAGAGUCAGAGAGGUCGAGUUCAAGCUGACCAGGUCACAUCACUCAGAGUGCGCCGGCAUGGAUGGUUGCUAUGGUGAGGGUUAUGGUCGAAGAGAUAUGGGGAUCGAUGGAGAAUUUUUGCUUGCUCAAGUAACAAAAACAUACACUUGUGUUUUUUAUUUUUGCAUUUACACUUUCAUAUACUCAAUUAGAAUUAAGCAAAAAUAUAAAUAGGAACUUCUUGAA